Molecule: ribosomal RNA, 441 nt
Filed under: uncultured prokaryote
Description: bacterial SSU rRNA
Rfam family: Bacterial small subunit ribosomal RNA
Source: RNAcentral
UGAGGAAUAUUGCGCAAUGGGCGAAAGCCUGACGCAGCGACGCCGCGUGGGGGAUGAAGGUCUUCGGAUUGUAAACCCCUUUCGGGAGGGAAGAUGGCGCGGGGUAACCCGCGCGGACGGUACCUCCAGAAGCAGCCACGGCUAACUUCGUGCCAGCAGCCGCGGUAAUACGAAGGUGGCAAGCGUUGUUCGGAUUUACUGGGCGUACAGCGACCGUAGGCGGUGAGGUCAGCCCUGUGGGAAAUCUUCCGGCUCAACCGGGAAAGUUCGCAGGGUACUGCCUCGCUAGAGGACGGGAGAGGAGCGCGGAAUUCCCGGUGUAGCGGUGAAAUGCGUAGAGAUCGGGAGGAAGGCCGGUGGCGAAGGCGGCGCUCUGGAACGUCCCUGACGCUGAGGGUCGAAAGCGUGGGGAGCAAACAGGAUUAGAUACCCCCGUAGUCC